This 505-nucleotide ribosomal RNA is filed under the name uncultured bacterium. RNAcentral's name for it is "partial 16S ribosomal RNA". It matches the Rfam family "Bacterial small subunit ribosomal RNA", at positions 28 to 507 of the family's 1533-position model. The record is from RNAcentral.
GACGAACGCUGGCGGCGUGCCUAAUACAUGCAAGUAGAACGCACAGUUUAUACCGUAGCUUGCUACACCAUAGACUGUGAGUUGCGAACGGGUGAGUAACGCGUAGGUAACCUGCCUGGUAGCGGGGGAUAACUAUUGGAAACGAUAGCUAAUACCGCAUAAUAUUAAUUAUUGCAUGAUAAUUGAUUGAAAGAUGCAACUGCAUCACUACCAGAUGGACCUGCGUUGUAUUAGUUAGUAGGUGAGGUAACGGCUCACCUAGGCGACGAUACAUAGCCGACCUGAGAGGGUGAUCGGCCACACUGGGACUGAGACACGGCCCAGACUCCUACGGGAGGCAGCAGUAGGGAAUCUUCGGCAAUGGACGAAAGUCUGACCGAGCAACGCCGCGUGAGUGAAGAAGGUUUUCGGAUCGUAAAGCUCUGUUGUAAGAGAAGAACGGGUGUGAGAGUGGAAAGUUCACACUGUGACGGUAUCUUACCAGAAAGGGACGGCUAACUACGUG